This 102-nucleotide non-coding RNA is filed under the name Clavibacter nebraskensis NCPPB 2581. Lineage: Bacteria; Bacillati; Actinomycetota; Actinomycetes; Micrococcales; Microbacteriaceae. The record is from RNAcentral.
ACUCCCCCUCUGUCAUGGGCCUGAGAGCUUCGCGCCGUCCGAGGACGGUGCUUUCACCGUGGGCGAGCCGUGCGGGACGGCUGCUUUUCAGAGUGGCCAGUG